UCCCGGGUGGCUCAGACAGUAAAGAAUCUGCCUGCAAUGCGGAAGACCUGGGUUCGAUCCCUGGUUUGGGAA
Molecule: transfer RNA, 72 nt
Filed under: Bos taurus (domestic cattle)
Lineage: Eukaryota; Metazoa; Chordata; Mammalia; Artiodactyla; Bovidae
Also listed under: 1 other name
Rfam family: tRNA
About the family: Transfer RNA (tRNA) molecules are approximately 80 nucleotides in length.
Source: Rfam by way of RNAcentral